CUCUUCUGCAUUAACAGAACUCUGCUAUAAUUGUGUGAUCCAGAAUUAUCUUUUGUUUGAUGCAAUGAUGCUAGCCGAGUAUUGAGCAGAAGGAGAUGACUGUGCAUUGUGCUGCAAAUGAGACGUGGUCGAACCUCUUUCUUAAUGUUCAUUGGUCUCUGUCUCAAGGCUCACUGCCACAAAU
Small nucleolar RNA from Myripristis murdjan (pinecone soldierfish), 184 nucleotides. Ensembl annotates it as small nucleolar RNA SNORA81. The record is from Ensembl. NCBI's taxonomy places the organism in Eukaryota, Metazoa, Chordata, Actinopteri, Holocentriformes, Holocentridae.